This 840-nucleotide ribosomal RNA is filed under the name Xanthoparmelia camtschadalis. Its description in RNAcentral is "eukaryotic LSU rRNA". It matches the Rfam family "Eukaryotic large subunit ribosomal RNA", at positions 81 to 936 of the family's 3401-position model. The record is from RNAcentral. Lineage: Eukaryota; Fungi; Ascomycota; Lecanoromycetes; Lecanorales; Parmeliaceae.
UAGUAACGGCGAGUGAAGCGGCAACAGCUCAAAUUUGAAAUCUGGCUCCUUCGGGGUCCGAAUUGUAAUUUGUAGAGAGUGCUUCGGGCGAGACCUCGGUCUAAGUCCAUUGGAACAUGGUGUCAUAGAGGGUGAGAAUCCCGUAUGCGACCGUGGCUCGAGCCCAUGUGAAGCCUCUUCGACGAGUCGAGUUGUUUGGGAAUGCAGCUCAAAAUGGGUGGUAAAUUUCAUCUAAAGCUAAAUAUUGGCUGGAGACCGAUAGCGCACAAGUAGAGUGAUCGAAAGAUGAAAAGCACUUUGGAAAGAGAGUCAAACAGUACGUGAAAUUGUUGAAAGGGAAGCGCUUGCAACCAGACCUGCCCGUAGGCGAUCAGCCGCUGUUCUCAGCGGUGUACUCGCUCUGCGAUCAGGCCAGCAUCGGUUUCGGCGGUCGGAUAAAGGCCUUGGAAAUGUAGCUUCCCUUCGGGGGAGUCUUAUAGCCCUCGGUGUAAUGCGGCCAGCCGGGACCGAGGACCGCGCUUCGGCUAGGAUGCUGGCGUAAUGGUUGUAAGCGACCCGUCUUGAAACACGGACCAAGGAGUCUAACAUCUAUGCGAGUGUUUGGGUGUCAAACCCAUACGCGGAAUGAAAGUGAACGGAGGUGAGAACCCUUAAGGGCGCAUCAUCGACCGAUCCAGAUGUCUUCGGAUGGAUUUGAGUAUGAGCAUAGCUGUUGGGACCCGAAAGAUGGUGAACUAUGCCUGAAUAGGGUGAAGCCAGAGGAAACUCUGGUGGAGGCUCGCAGCGGUUCUGACGUGCAAAUCGAUCGUCAAAUUUGGGUAUAGGGGCGAAAGACUAAUC